GACGAACGCUGGCGGCGCGCCUAACACAUGCAAGUCGAACGAGCGAGAGAGAGCUUGCUUUCUCAAGCGAGUGGCGAACGGGUGAGUAACGCGUGAGGAACCUGCCUCAAAGAGGGGGACAACAGUUAGAAAUGACUGCUAAUACCGCAUAAGACCACAGCACCGCAUGGUGCAGGGGUAAAACUCCGGUGGUAUGAGAUGGAUCCGCGUCUGAUUAGCUAGUUGGUAAGGUAACGGCUUACCAAGGCAACGAUCAGUAGCCGACCUGAGAGGGUGACCGGCCACAUUGGGACUGAGACACGGCCCAA
This 308-nucleotide ribosomal RNA is filed under the name uncultured bacterium. RNAcentral describes it as "bacterial SSU rRNA". It matches the Rfam family "Bacterial small subunit ribosomal RNA", at positions 28 to 334 of the family's 1533-position model. The record is from RNAcentral.